This is a long non-coding RNA of Salvelinus sp. IW2-2015, 623 nucleotides long. RefSeq lists it as uncharacterized. Lineage: Eukaryota; Metazoa; Chordata; Actinopteri; Salmoniformes; Salmonidae. The record is from RefSeq and is a predicted model, not a curated record.
CGAAUUUUCAGAAAACWAACGGCGGCCAUGACACUUUUCCCGCAUCCUAUCAUUGUUUACAUCACACGGAGAGAUAGUUACAGAUACCACCAGCGCUCGCUCCUGCCUCACGGCCGGCCUGCCCUCUGUGAUCUACCCCAGGCUUCUGUCUUUCCCCCGGUGGGGUGAAGACUAGCAGAAGAGGGCGAUGUCCUUCUUGCCUCAGAAAGUGCUGGGCAUCAGCAGGGGUGGAUUGGCUGGACGCUGUUGACCAGGAGCAGCAUGGGGAGUUUCCAAUUCAGCACUGACUUGCUUGAGAGACACCAGACCAACGUUGGUCCAGUGUGAACUGGCGGCCAGCAGUGGAUUGCCCGACCGCCUUCUUUGCAUGUCCACUGUUCCUCUGGAUGCCCCUUUGUAUGUAGGCAUUUACACUGACAUGCCCCCAGCCUGGGUGAGGGCGUAAUUCGUCACAGACUUGCUUGAGACACCAGACUAACGAUGGUCCAGUGUCCAGUGUUGUUUUCCACAUUUUGUACAGGUGUGGCAUGUGGUGUGAGCUAAUGUUCAAUGUUCCCCUCCUGUGAAAAUGUACAGUUAUUUAUUUUUGCAGACUUAAAUAAAUAGUUUUUAAAUUAAUUACA